RNAcentral lists this long non-coding RNA (268 nucleotides) under Elaeis guineensis (African oil palm). RNAcentral's name for it is "long non-coding RNA (EGUI_LNC030203)". The record is from RNAcentral. Lineage: Eukaryota; Viridiplantae; Streptophyta; Magnoliopsida; Arecales; Arecaceae.
CUCUCAACUCCAUUACUAUGCUAUCACUUUUGCCAUUUCCAAAUCUACACUUUUUCCUAAGAUUGGUGCCUGUCUUAGACAUCAGAGGAUCUCCCAUUAAACACUCUCGUAGAUUUUCAUAUUUUUGCUGUUUCAGGUCGGAUCUGAUGUAGGAGCCCCUUGUCCGAGCGCAACCACUAUCAUCCAACUUACUCGACAUCAAGGUUAGGCCAGAUUGCAGCAGCAACAAUAGCUUGCACUACUGACAAGCUAAUUUCUUUCCAUUAGC